Molecule: ribosomal RNA, 2959 nt
Filed under: Triticum aestivum (bread wheat)
Lineage: Eukaryota; Viridiplantae; Streptophyta; Magnoliopsida; Poales; Poaceae
Description: partial small subunit ribosomal RNA
Source: RNAcentral
CCCACCCCCACCCCCACCCCCGUCCACGAACCAACGGAGGCGGCGAGGCAUCUCCACCGCCGGCGAGAAAUCCAGCUAGGGUUUCCGGCGAGCGAGCCGAUGGGGCCGGGCGCGCCGUCGCCGGAGGACGCCGCGGGCGGGGAGCCGGAGGCGUGGUACGGCAGCAUCCAGUACCUCGUCAACAUCUCGGCGGUGGGGGCCGCCUCCUGCGUGCUCCUCUUCCUCCUCGUCAAGCUCCGCUUCGACCACCGCCGCAUCCCGGGGCCCUCCGCGCUCGCCGCCAAGCUGCUCGCCGUCUACCACGCCACGGCCCCGCAGAUCGCGCUCCACUGCGGCGCCGACGCCGCCCAGUUCCUCCUCUUCGAGCGCGCCUCCUUCCUCGUCCUCGCCGCCGUCUCCGCCGCCGCCUUCGCCGCGGCCCUCCCGCUCAACCUGCUCGCCGGGGACGCCGCCAUCGCCGACCAGUUCGCCGCCACCACCAUCUCCCACAUCCCCAGGGCCUCCCCGCUGCUCUGGCUCCACCUCCUCCUCACCGCCGCCGUCGUCGCCAUCGCGCACCUCGGCAUCUCCCGCAUGGAGGACGCCCUCCGCAUCACCCGCUUCCGCGACGGCAACGGCAACCCCAGCGACCCCAACUCCAGCUCCGUCGCCGUCUUCACCAUCAUGAUCCAGGGCAUCCCCAGGGCGCUCGCCGCCGACAAGGCCCCCCUCAAGGAGUACUUCGAGCACAAGUACCCCGGCAAGGUGUACCGCGUCAUUGUGCCCUUCGACCUCUGCACGCUGGAGUACCUCGCCGACGAGUGGGGGAAGGUCCGGAACAAGAUCUCCUGGCUGGAGGCGAAGAUGGACGCCCGCAGCCUGUUUGACGAGUUUGUGCAGGACGAAUCGGGGCAGUUAGAAGCGCACUGGCUUGUCAGGAGAUGCAAAGAGCUGUGGGCAAUGACCGCGCAGAGGUUCGGGUUUACUGAUGAUGAGAGGCUAAGGAAGCUGCAGACAAGGAAACUCGUGAUUGGGAGCAGGCUGUCGGAUUACAAGGAAGGGCGUGCGCGUGGUGCUGGCAUAGCUUUUGUUGUGUUCAAGGAUGUGUACACGGCAAACAAGGCUGUGAGAGAUUUCCGGAUGGAAAGGAAGAAGACACCCAUUGGCAGGUUCUUCCCAGUGAUGGAGCUACAGCUUGAGAGGAGCCGAUGGAGAGUGGAGAGGGCGCCACCAGCAUCAGAUAUCUACUGGAAUCACCUUGGGAUGAACAAGACCUCACUAGCCUUGCGACGGAUAGCGGUUAACACCUGCCUCAUUGUAAUGCUCCUGUUCUUCAGUUCACCAUUGUCAAUACUCAGUGGAAUGCAAAACGCAGCACGGAUCAUCAAUGUGGAGGCUAUGGAUAGUGCCAAAUCAUGGAUUGUUUGGCUUCAAGGCUCAAGCUGGUUCUGGACAAUAAUCUUUCAGUUUCUACCCAAUGUCCUCAUCUUCGUGAGCAUGUAUAUUAUCAUCCCAUCAGUACUGUCAUACUUCUCCAAGUUUGAGUUCCAUCUGACAGUGUCGGGGGAGCAGAGAGCUGCAUUGCUGAAGAUGGUUUGCUUCUUCCUUGUUAAUCUCAUCUUGUUGCGUGCGCUGGUGGAAUCGUCGCUUGAAAGUUGGAUUCUUAGCAUGGGACGGUGCUACUUAGAUAGUGCUGAUUGCAAGCAGAUUGAACAUUACCUGAGCCCAUCAUUCUUGUCGAGAUCUUCACUUUCUUCCCUGGCGUUCUUAAUCACAUGCACCUUUCUGGGAAUAUCUUUUGAUCUGCUGGCUCCAAUCCCUUGGAUAAAGCAUAUACUGAAGAAAUUCAGAAAGAAUGAUAUGGUCCAGUUGGUCCCUGAAGAAAAUGAGGAAUACAGAUCUAUGAACAAUGACGAAGAAACAAAUGGUCUGGUAUCGCCUCUAAUGUCUGAGAGAGAAGACAGUGACAUUCUGAAUGGUUUCGAGGGGCAUGAUCUUUCCAUGUACCCAAUAAACCGGAGCUUCCACAUGCCAAAGCAGAAAUUCGACUUUGCACAAUACUAUGCAUUUGACAUCACAAUAUUCGCGCUCACGAUGAUCUACUCACUGUUUGCUCCGCUUGUGGUUCCUGUCGGUGCAGUAUACUUUGGCUACCGUUACCUUGUGGACAAGUACAAUUUCCUGUUCGUGUACAGAGUCAGAGGAUUUCCUGCAGGCAAUGAUGGGAAGCUGAUGGAUAGGGUGCUGUGCAUCAUGCAAUUCUGUGUCAUCUUCUUUCUUGCUGCUAUGUUGCUCUUCUUCGCAGUCCAGGGUGAUUCCAUGAAGCUACAGGCUAUAUGUACUCUUGGGCUGUUAGUGUUCUAUAAGUUGCUGCCGUCUGGAAGUGAUCGCUUCCAGCCGUCCUUGUUAGAAGGGAUGCAGACAGUUAAUAGCUUUGUAGAUGGUCCAACGGAUUAUGAAGUUUUUUCACAACCUGACCUGGAUUGGAAUCUGUAUCAAUCCUGAAGAAAACUCAAGCCAUCCUUGUUCAUAGAGACGCAGACAGUUAAAUAGCUUUGUAGACAGUCCAACAGAUUAUGGAGUUUUUUCACAACCUGACCUGGAUUGGAAUCUGUAUCAAUCCUGAAGGAAAAACUCAAGCCAUCCUUGUUAAUAGAGACACAGAGAGCUAAAUAGCUUUGUAGACGGUCCAACGGAUUAUGAAGUUUUUUCAUAGCCUGUCCUGGAUCUGUAUCAAUCCUGAAGAACUCGAGGUCAAUACACACUUGUUUCAUGACAUCGACAUCUAGUAUCACCGGAGCUUCGCAUUGUACGACUCUCAGUUGUUUCUGUACAGUAAUCUAGGAUAACUCCUUUUUUUUUUUUCUAGCUGGAACUGUUGUGUUGGAACUUUGAAAUGACAUACACUUCAAUUUGGACCAUGAAAGCAUGAGCUGCCAUUCGGAAAUUCCAUGAGAGUAUAUCUGGUGUUAUCCUAUUC